GACAGAGGGGGCAAGCGUUGCUCGGAAUCACUGGGCGUAAAGCGCACGUAGGCGGAUUGCUAAGUCAGGGGUGAAAUCCUGGAGCUCAACUCCAGAACUGCCUUUGAUACUGGCGAUCUUGAGUCCGGGAGAGGUGAGUGGAGCUGCGAGUGUAGAGGUGAAAUUCGUAGAUAUUCGCAAGAACACCAGUGGCGAAGGCGGCUCACUGGCCCGGUACUGACGCUGAGGUGCGAAAGCGUGGGGAGCAAACAGG
Molecule: ribosomal RNA, 253 nt
Filed under: uncultured bacterium
Lineage: Bacteria
Description: partial 16S ribosomal RNA
Rfam family: Bacterial small subunit ribosomal RNA
Source: RNAcentral